This 253-nucleotide ribosomal RNA is filed under the name uncultured bacterium. Its description in RNAcentral is "partial 16S ribosomal RNA". It matches the Rfam family "Bacterial small subunit ribosomal RNA", at positions 524 to 776 of the family's 1533-position model. The record is from RNAcentral.
GACGUAGGGCGCGAGCGUUGUCCGGAUUUAUUGGGCGUAAAGAGCUCGUAGGCGGCUUGUCGCGUCGACUGUGAAAACCCGCGGCUCAACUGCGGGCCUGCAGCCGAUACGGGCAGGCUAGAGUUCGGUAGGGGAGACUGGAAUUCCUGGUGUAGCGGUGAAAUGCGCAGAUAUCAGGAAGAACACCCGUGGCGAAGGCGGUUCUCUGGAACGCAACUGACGCUGAGACGCGAAAGCGUGGGGAGCAAACAGG